ACCGGCGGCCCGAGUGGUGAUCGUGAUUAUUGGGUCUAAAGGGUCCGUAGCCGGUUUGGUCAGUCCUCCGGGAAAUCUGAUAGCUCAACUAUUAGGCUUUCGGGGGAUACUGCCAGACUUGGAACCGGGAGAGGUAAGAGGUACUACAGGGGUAGGAGUGAAAUCUUGUAAAUCCCUGUGGGACCACCUGUAGGCGAAGGCGUCUUACCAGAACGGGUUCGACGGUGAGGGACGAAAGCUGGGGGCACGAACCGGAUUAGAUACCCGGGUAGUCCCAGCCGUAAACGAUGCUCGCUAGGUGUCAGGCAUGGCGCGACCGUGUCUGGUGCCGCAGGGAAGCCGUGAAGCGAGCCACCUGGGAAGUACGGCCGCAAGGCUGAAACUUAAAGGAAUUGGCGGGGGAGCACAACAACGGGUGGAAGCCUGCGGUUUAAUUGGACUCAACGCCGGACAACUCACCGGGGGCGACAGCAAUAUGUAGGCCAAGCUGAAGACUUUGCCUGAAUCGCUGAGGGGAGGUGCAUGG
This 526-nucleotide ribosomal RNA is filed under the name uncultured archaeon. RNAcentral describes it as "bacterial SSU rRNA". It matches the Rfam family "Archaeal small subunit ribosomal RNA", at positions 475 to 997 of the family's 1478-position model. The record is from RNAcentral.